CUUUUUUUUUUUUUUUAACUACUAAAACAAAUCAUGAUGUGUUACUCUGUCGACUUCAAACUAGGUUUCAUGUUCUUUUUUUUUUUCCUGUUCCUAGUCCAGUUGUAAAUAUCUCUCUGCUUGGACAAGACUGUGUUUGAAGCCAGACUGUCACACUGGUAGUCUCUGCUGUAUGUGUCUCUAAGUGUAUAUAUAUAUAUAUUCAGACAUGACCGUACCGAAUGCUUUGUUGGUUUCUACUUUGUACGAGAACAAAAGGACUUGUUGACCCUCUGAUUAAUACCUCAAUGUAUUUCUUAGUAGUAUUUCUUAUACCCACUUCAUACAAUUUUUUUGUUUCUGCAAAGAUUAGCAUCAUAAAAUACUUAUACUCUAGUAAAAAAAAAUUUAAAACUAACUAUUAAAUUAUGGAAGAAAAAAAACUGGGAAAAAAGGCAUAUUCUUGUCAGCACAAACACUAUGUACUUUAUUGACCAUGCUAAAUAAGUGAUCCCCCAUUUCCAAGUUCUAUGAUUAAAUUAUUGCUCUCUGCUUUGUCCUGGUGAGACAAUUGUAUAGACAUGUCAUCUCAUUUUUUUUUUGUUUUUCCUUUCUCAUCAUUAUGUUUGUACAGAUUUCAUUCUAGCCUAUUGAUGAGCACUUUUCACAAAUUAAAACAUACUGUAUACAAUGGAGAACGA
Biomphalaria pfeifferi is the source of this 680-nucleotide non-coding RNA. Lineage: Eukaryota; Metazoa; Mollusca; Gastropoda; Planorbidae. The record is from the annotation of a GenBank genome assembly.